Eurytemora carolleeae is the source of this 169-nucleotide long non-coding RNA. RefSeq lists it as uncharacterized. The transcript has 2 exons. The record is from RefSeq and is a predicted model, not a curated record. Lineage: Eukaryota; Metazoa; Arthropoda; Copepoda; Calanoida; Temoridae.
AGAAAAAACGGAAAAGUUAGAGAAUAUAAUUCUUCAGUCAAAUUAUUCAGAUAAUUAUUCCUCUGAGUCUGUUUGAAAGUUGGUGGAUGAAGACUGGAUGAUACAAUCAGCUGUCGAGUAAAUGGAAAUAUAAAUGAAUUUUCUUCUUUAAUAAAUAUGUUUUAUUGUA